GCCUUUAUCCAGAUUUACUCUAUGUUAAGAAAAUAAGACAUGUACAAUAAAUGUGAAUGAUACAGUAAUCUCUUACCCAAGUUACAAACUAGGUCAUUCACCUGUGUAACAUGUAUGUACAGAUAUAUUUAUAAUAUACUAGUAUAAAAUAGAAAAACGAAAUGUGGGACACAGCCCGAACAAAGCGCAGAUAACUGCCGAAGUCCAGUAAUGUGUUUUCAACGAAUCGAUAUAAUCCUCUUUUGAAAUAAAGAGGUUGUAAUACAGAGGCUGCUUAUUUGUAAUUACGCCAUAUACAUGGUAUAGAUGCGCAAUUUACCCAAAGCAAGUAUAGCGUGCAUUUAAAAUUUCUAAUACGUAAUAAAGGGAAAACGGUACUAUUUAUUCUUCCAUAGGCGACAAUGCUAACCUUUUCUAAAUUUACCAGUUUUUAUAAUAAAAACCUGGAUAAAACAGUUAUGUGUGGUGUUAGUACUUUAUUACUGUAUUCUAAAAAUUGAAGCCGAAUAGUAUCAUGACCAAUUUCUAACGGAGCUUGUUUAUGUUAUCCAUGCCCAUUUUGCACCAAAUUUAUGAAAUUCUGGAAGCCUUUUCGAAUAAUUCUCUAGAAAAUAUUUCAAUAGGUUUUAAAAUUUAUAUUUUAAAUUUACACACUACUGUCAUUCAUAGAUAAAUAAAAAAAAUAUAUUGUACCUUUACAUCCAAUCACAGCUCUCCUAAGUUUACUUCCUUCAUCUGUCUUGGGUACACAAAAGGCAAACCUUAUGCUGGGAAAAUGUAAUACUACCGUUUUCCCUAUAACAAGGAUGUACGACAUGAGUUUUUUUCAUGAUGAAGAUGCGCAUAAUUGUUUACAUGUAGCCGUCAACUUCAUUUUAUAUUCGUAGGAUAUAUGCGCUUUCUAUCACGACCACCUUUCAAGAUAGAGAGUUCGUGAUUAACGAGGAAUCUAUUCAAUAAAAGUGUAACAGGAUAAAGUUGGAAUCAACUCCUCUGAAGUGUAAAUAGUUAUCAAAGGUACCAGGAUUAGCAUUUAGUACGCCAGACGCGACGUUUGACGUUCAUACAAAAUCCAAAAAGACAAGUACAUCCAAUGUGACAAGAAUCCUUAGUUUUUCAAAAAAUUCAAAGUUUUUGUAAACAAAUUUAUAAAAUGACCACAUUAUUGAUAUUCAUGUCAACACAAAGUGUUGACUACUGGGCUGGUGAUACCCUUACCAGCAGUGGCAUCGACCCAGUGGUGUAACAGACUCAUCAUCCAUGAUUUGAUUGAUAACAUAUUAGAACCUUAGAUUUGAACAUAUGUGUCUUUUGUUAAAAGUACAUUCCUGUAAAAUAAAAAGAAAAAAAAAAAAAAAACCUUAUUUUGAAUUCGUUAUUGACCAUUACUUAGUUUUAAAUGACGAAAAUUCUAAUCUUAGCAAAUUAGAAAAAAAAAGAGUUAGAAUUAAAUUCCCACCACUACCCUUAAAUAUUAAAUAUUAAAUAUAUUGAUUUUUUAAAAAAUAUUAAAAUUUCGUUUUGAUUUUGCAAUAGUCGGAAAAUUCUAAGAUUAUCAAAAGUUUGAAUUUAAGAAUAGCUAAGCUGUUUUUUGGGCGAAAUUUUACAGAAUUUUGAAACCCCAAUGCUCUUCAAUUUCGUUAGUUAUUUGGCCUUUUUCCAUGCUAAGUCUGAUUGAAUACUUGACUAUCUGGGUAUAGUCUGAAUGUAAUCUGGACAAAUGCUCGACGUGGUUAAUUCUGGUUUUGAAUAGUAUUCUUGAAUUGCUGUCAAGCAUCUUUUUAUUAAAAAAUUAUGAGUGAUAUCACCACAAUUAUAAAGUAUCUGACGGUCGUUUUCCUGCAUGGAAAUAUAGUUUUCUUUUAAUCAUUCAUAUGAUAAUAUAAGCAAGAGCAGUUGCUGGGACAAAACUAAUGUAGAAAUGAUCUAGACAACAACAUGACAAAAAAAAAACCAUCAAGAAGUAACUACUUUAUUCAAUGAUAUAGCAGAGUCAGAUUUGUGGAAAUGGUGGUGGUUUAUGGGGGGUGGUUUGUUAUGGAUUUGAUGUCCUUCUACUUUUCUCUAUUCUUUAUUAGUUUUGGCCAAUAUUCGCUAUUUUUUUCUGUGCUUAUUCUUUAUUCUAGUCUUCUUUUAUCCGUCUUUUUAUUGCUGUGUCUUGGAAAGUGACAAAAAUGGCGUUAAAAAUUUUAUGACGAUAACAAGAGUCACCAGAUGAAGUGAGAAAUCAAAGUCUCCAUAUAUGUUGUUACUUUCUUUUUAUAGAAUAAAUUAGAAAAAGACAGCUAAAAAUGAACGGAUUAAUUAUCUGCCUUUACAAGGCAAAUGAUUGUACUACAUGUAUUUAACAAAUUAACGUAUUGAAAUUUGCUCAUAUGAAAUUUAAACAAUAACAUAUGAUAAAUAUAGAUAUACUAAUAGAACUCAGUAAUAUAUAAAGAUGGGAAUCGACUUAAGACUGAUUGCAAUGAAAUACAUUUCAGGGACCUUCCUCUUUAAAUAUAUUUUCCUGAUACAUGUGUCACAAUUUAUUACCAAAGUUUACUUAGUGCAUUAAGCAGAACUCAACAUAAUCAGCUUCUUCCUCAUUUUGAAAAAUCUAGAUAUAAAAAACAGAAUCGAAAAUUUUGUGAAAUGUUAUAUUGAAAUUGAAGGUAAGGCUAAGGCAGUGGACGACAAUUGGCGACGCUGGUUUCUUGUUGUGUUAAACUUUAACGACAAGUAAUGAAGUGCUUUAAGAAAAGUACUUGAUUAUAAUUUAUUAUGAGACGUUUCCGUUACUCAUUACUUCAAAAGGGAUAUAAAUCUAUACUACUAUAUCAAUCCUUGUUUCAACAACAUUUCUAUUUUUUCCGAUAAUUGAAAAUUAUUCGUCAGAUACGAUAAAAUCAAUUAAAAUAAUUGAACUUUGAUCUUAUAUUUUGAUUUCAUUACACGUUUUAGUUUUUCAGAAUUUAUAUAUGCAGACCUUUAUAAUGUGUAUAUUUAAACAAUGUUACACAACGUACAAGGUAUAUCCCAAGAAAUGCCCGAUCUAUUUAUAAGUCAUCCGAAAAAAAAAUUCUACGUUAGCAUUCUAUGAAUGUAGAUUCAUUAUUUUAUCGACAUAUGCAUACACCAUUAGUGUGGUGUCAAAGGUAAGCUAAAAUUAGAUCGAAACUGAUGCAAUAUAUGGUAAUGAGUUAUAAUACGGUGAAAACGUGUACCAAUAGCGUGUUUCAGCUAUUCCAUUCGUUUCGAAUUUAAGUUUUUUUCUCAAUCAUUCAUUACCAAAUUAUCUGAUUUAAAUGAAUUUUAUUUCAAUUUAUUUUGUUUAUUUUAUAAUAAUUAUUUUUAUAAUGUUUGGCGGGGAUACAAAUCUCUAAAAAAAAAAUGUUUCGAGAAAGAAAACAACCAAUAAAAAUAAAUAAGACAAUCUCCGACUGUUAUCAUGGUUAUGGAACGACCAUUUAACUUCAAAAUUUUUUUUUUCUUUACAAAAAAAUAUUGUGAUCCCCCAAUUUGGAGAUAAUAUAUAUUGUGAUUAAACAGAUGACAAAACAAGAAAAAAAAACUGAAUCCAAAUUUCCCCCAUACCUAUAUAUAUAUAGUGUUAAAUUUAUUCUAUUUCUAUUCCAAUGUUAUUUUUAAACAAUCAUGGUCUAUAUAGAUUUCUAAAACGGACCAAUUAUUUUCAAAAGGGAUAGGCCGGGGUUGGAGGAAGGGAGGAUAGACUGGCCGAUUACGAUAUAUUUAUACAAAUAAAACCCGAUUAACUUUUGAUCGAUCUUUUACUGGUCUUUUCCCUCCUCCCGAAACAUACAAUAUGUAGGGGAUUUUUUUUGAGAAUCAGUUGUCUAGCACAUGUUGUUAAUUAUUAUAAAAAUAAUGAUAACAAACGACAAUAAAUGUCCCACAAAAUGUACAAUAAAUGCUGUAGAAAUUAAAAUAUACAUGAAAUGAAGCGGAUUUUUUUUUAAGUAGGGAGACAUAGGUGCAGAAAAUUUUAUUAGAAGAUUUUCUUCCAAAAAAUAACUGAUUUUUACAAUCAAGGGGUAGAUGUGUUGGGUUGUGGAAGAGGUUGAUAGUACGCGCUUUCCAAUGGAGCCGUCACUUUAAACAAUUGUAUUCAAUGAUCUGUACAUGUAAGCACGAUCUAAAAUAUUCAAGACAAAGUUUUCAAAAUUAUUAUUGUACAUGUAUGAAGUUUUAUUUUCCUAUUUGUUUCAUUUAUGAAAUAAUCAUUCAAUCAAGAGUCUGGUUGUUCUUCGAUAAUUGUAUAUAUGUUAUUGUAAUUUUUUCAUAUUGCCCAUGUGUGCCCAUUGAUUUGAAAAGAAGUUUAUAACUAGUAUAAUGUUAUUCCUAAAUAUAUUCUAUCCUAUUCUAUUAAAAUCUGUUUUUUUUUUUACAUCCUAUCAUCUAUUCUUUUCGGUUCUUUUAUAUCCUAUCAUUUUCUAUCCUGUUCUUUUCCAUUCUAUUAUAUUCUAAUCUAUUCUAGAAAUAACCAAUCAUAGUACGUCUAGAUGACACACAAACACGUGGGACGUUGUUUGUAAACAAACAGCAUUAUUCUGUAAUAUGACCACGUAUUCAGCUUAGGCAGCAACCAUUUGAUUUUUUCGGGGGGGGGGGCUAUGGUUUUUUUUGGAAAAAAAAGUUUGUUUCCAGGUUUUGGUGAAAAAAAUAAUUUGUUUUGGACCCUGAGAAAAUAAAAUGUUUGUUUCACCCUCAGCUGCCACUAUAUGUAAUGCUAAAAUUGAAAGAAAAAAAUUGUUUUCGGUUUGUUGCUAAAAAAAUAGAUUAUUUUUCGCCAAAGGCGAAAACAAAAGUUUGCACAGAAAAAAAAACCAUAGCCCCCCCCCCCCCCCCCCCCCCAGAAAAUCAAAUGGUUGCUGCCUUACUUAAUAAUUAUAUUGCGUAUAAGACAAUCUUAAGUUAAGAUCUUACAAUAAUAUUGUAUACAAGACACACGACGUUAAGCUAUAUUACAAUUCGGAUUUAAAAAAACAAAUAAAAGAAUGAACUUCGACGAGUUUUAACAUACUUGUUCGCGAUAUUGUCAUGUGAUAUAAUGAGUCAUUUUCUAAAAAUAGACAUUCAGUGUUGCAUAUAUAUAUGUAGGACUCUAAAGUGCGAUGGGGACGCUAAAGUACGAUAGUCACGCUAAAGUGCGAUGGUCUACCUUAAAGUACGAUUCCUCCAUACGCUAAAGUGCGAUGGUCCGCGAAAGUAUAGAGGAGAGAAUUGUACUUGGAUUAGGACGUUAAAAGUUGUUUAUACAAACCAAAAAUGUAUAUGCCGGAACAUAAAUUAAGAACAUUGAUUCACAACUUUUAAACCAAAUGUCCAUGAUUUAAUUUCAGACCUAACUGUGCAUCGUCGGCUGAAGCAACUGUGUUGAUUUAUUUCGGAUGCUGGAAGAAGGACUUGUGUCCUGCAGUCGACCAUUUUACUUUAUAGAUGCUAAAUAGGUUGAAAAUAGUAUACGCAUAGGUAUCGUAGAUCCUGCUUCUAUUGGCAGCGAACGGAUGCACUGAAAUUAUUGUUUACAAUUCCGUUUACAUUGCGGUCCCCGUUAAAAUAUUCUCGAUGUUAUUGAAAAGUAACGUCAGGAAAAUAAAGGUUCAUGUUUUUCAGCGUAAAUUAUAAAUUGUCGGCUAAAACAUAGUUUGUACAGUGCAGGAAAAUAUAACAUGUCUUUUUUACGGAAAAGAGAAAGCUCGACGAAUAUCGCUUGUCCUCGCAUUUAAGAAUAAAGCUAAACACCUUGUACAAAUAAAUGUUACUUAAUGUAUUCAGACAAUGUGGUCGGUCUUAUAAAUUUAGAAACUAUCACUAUAUAAGCUUACCGAUAAAUCAUAAAGCCUAUCACAUAUGUUAUACCUUAGCAUUCUAGCUUUUGCAAAUAGACUAUUUUUUUUAUUUUUUUAAAUCCAUGUAUUUAAAUGUUUUAAACCGUCGAUCUUAUCAUAUUGGUCCAUCGCACUUUAGCGUGAUAUACCAUCGUACUUUAGCAAACAAACAACCAUCGCACUUUAGCGUGAGACACCAUCGUACUUUAGCGUAGACCAUCGCACUUUAGCGUGACCAUUGCACUUUAGAGUACCAUCGCACUUUAGAGUCCUACAUAUAUAACACUUCUUAUGAAUCAACUAUAUAUGUAAAUUGGACACUGUAAAGUAAGCUUUUUCUUGAUAAUAUAAAAGUUUUAAUAUUUUUCAACAAAUUUAUAUCAUCUGAUAACAGUUUAUCUAUAUUAUCUUUUAUGCCCUGUGUUUUUAUUUUAAUUGUUAACUAUAAACGUUCAGUGUGCAACGACUAAACAAGUUGAUUGGAAUAUGUCAACAUGGUUAAGGUCUUAUCAUUUUUUUUAAUUUAGAUACCAGAAAUGUAAAAAUAAAAAAAAUUAUAUAAACCGAAAUUCAAUAUAAAUCAAAUUACUGAUCAUAGUUUAUUGAUAUGGGAUUCAAUUUAAUAUUUUGUAAGAUCUUAAUAUUUUGGGAGGUUGCAUUUAUAAUCUGUUAUCUUGCAUACCAGUUCUAACAGGGGUGAUCUGAGCCGGAUCACCCGUACCAGAUCACCCUAGUUUGAGUUUCUUUGUUAUGCAUGCCUUCCUUUGUUCUGUAACAUUUUGGCGGGAAUGUCAAAUCCACUAUAAAACUUAUAAUUAAAUAUACAAUUAUACGGAAAAGACUAUCUAUCAAAAUUAACGUAGAAAACAUCCAGUGUAUAUGCUGGGAUUCGAACUCAAGACCUUUAGCAUAUCAAGCCACAACACAACCACUACACCAGGACGACUGGAUAUGGACUAUCAGUAAUUUAACAUACUUAAAGGAAGUAAGAUGUUUUUUAUAAGUGGGGCGAGUUGGCAGACCUUUAUUCAGUGGGGUUUAAACCCCUUUCGUUAAUAAGUGAGUUGUCAGUGAAAAGUAAAAUCACAAAAAUACUGAACUCAGAGGAAAAUCAAUUCGGAUUUGUUCAGUUUGAUUUUACACUUUUUAAAAAUGGGGCGAGUCGGUAAACAAGAGUGGGCGAUUUUUUUUCUUCAAAAAGUGGCGAGUUGACAUUGUUUAAUAUCUACUUAUCGUGUUCGGGGGUCAAACAGGGUAUUAAUCAUAAAGUAAUGUAUAAAGUAUAUUAUAAUGGUUUUGUGGCGUUCUAAACUAGAUUUUAUGAAUUGUAAAUGGUUUUUCGUCUAAUCUUAAUUUUAAUAUUCAAGAUAAAAAAGUGACCUUAUCAUACGUUGUCUUUUACCAUUUUUUGGGUGUAUGUUUCUCUUUGAUCUUUGAUGCUAUCAUAGACUUCUACUCAUUGAUGUAUUUCAGAUACACAGAGAGGAUCAUACUUUAGAAGGAAGAUCUAUUCUUAUUGUUUUAAUUACUGAUUCAUGGACAUCACUUUUAAAUUCAUAUUAUGUAUUCCAUUUCUUUGAGUACGCACGAACAUAAAACUGUUGGUAAUUUAAGAAUGUCCAUUAAAGACUUAUGUUAAGGACAAGACUUUAAUUUUGUAAUUUAGCUCUUUUUUGACGUUAUAUAUAAUGAUUCAAGACUUAGUACUUUUUUGAUAUAUUGUUAUAUUGUGUCAUUUCCAAUCAGUUUAACUAACUUUAAAUUCUUUUCAGAACAAGCUCAUAGCCGCUUACAAGAUGUUCCGUCAGAUGCUGUAAUUGAUACUUUGACAGAAAAGAACCUGAUUGGUGAUUGCGUUGUUCAUUUAGGACUUUAAUUGUGUCUUAGCAUUUGGAACAUUAGGAGUACUUUAUACAAUUUUCCUAGGGAUGUGAAUGGUCAGGUUCGUGAUCUUCUCAUUAAAUGGAAGAAUUGCAAUGAAACCAAGGUGGUAAAACCAAAAAUAUACCGACUUGUGGUAGCUUUAAAACAUAUUAAAGCAGCGAAAGGACUUAGUUUUGUGAAGAAAACAUAUGGUGUGGAAAAACACCUGAUAUGUUGUAUGUUGUGUAAAAGAAGAUAACAAAACAUGUGUAAAGGUAGUAAACAAAUAUGACGGGUACAACAUAGUCUAUUGAUUCAUAGACAAUAGCUAGAAUUAAAUUUAAGUUCUGCUUCCCUUUUAUUAUUUGAUAAUCAAAGUGUCUGUAUAUAGUUAAACAGAUGCUACAAUCACGUUUUUUAGUAUUGCGAGUGAGAAAGUUCAAAUUCUAUAUAAUAAAACAAAAUCAAAGUACACUAGUGGCCUCAUUUGAUUCAAUUAUAUAAUGAACAAUACGUUCUAUAAGCAUGGACAGUUUUUCAUUCAUACAACUUCGAAAAUUAUGGAACCAAAAAAGGCUACCAUUUUCGCCAAUUAUGUAAAUAACUAUUUCAACGUCAAACGAUAUAUAUUAAUAAAAACAAACCACCUUAUCUUCUUUUUAUGUUUGAAGUUUUGUGCUUGUUAUCAACAUGGUUGUUAUUCUGAAUAGCAUUCCUAAACUGUGAACGCAUGAACUGUGUGUUCCUUCAGUUCUAGUACACGUUGUAGCUCACCUGGCAGAAAAACCAAAUUGAAUUCAUUUUGCAUCUGUCAUCCGUCUUCCGAAUAUCAUUCCUAAACUGUGAAUGCACGAACUGUGUGCUCCUUCAGUUCUAGUACACUAGUAAUUUUAGCUCAUCUGGUAGAGAUACUUAUUCAGUUUUUUUAUCAUUUCGCGUCUGUCUUCCGUCGUCUGUUAACUUUAUAACAGUUUUAUCCUCUGAAACUACUGGGUCAAAUUGAACGAUACUUAACAAACAAAAUCAUCAUUUUGUAAUUAAUUUGAAAAAAAUAUGUCCGAUGACCCGCCUACUAAUCAAGGUGGUCGACAGGCCUAAAAAAAAGAAGAUGGGGGGGGGAUGCCGGUUUUACCUAUCAUAUUGAAAACCGCCAUAAAUAAAAAUAUUUUAAGGGGUCACAAGAGUUUAGAAUGUUGAGCGGUACCUAUUGUCUAUUGAGGUCAAAACUGUCAGACGACUUUUUAUAGAAGUAAUUGCACUUACAUGGUGUUUAUUUUCCUUUCAAUGGCCAUGUCCAUAUCUUAAAUACAUUUUUGUUUCCACUAUAACACAAAUAAUUGGAAUAUAUUUAAACUAUCUGAGAAUCCUUACCAAGUAAUCUUUUUGAGAACCUCUCGUUUUGUAUCAGAGUAUUGUUUUAGAUUUCCCUAAGCAAAUCUUGAAUAUUGCCAUUGAUAUAUAUGAGAUUAGGAUAUCAUUUUGGGAUCUUUACUCGCAGUACCUCUAGUUUUACUGGUUUUCUUUUACUGUUUCUUCUGAAAUUGUCUAAUGUUGUAUAGUAAUAAUAUUGCACAUGAUUUUAACGUACAUAACCCAAUAAAUAGUAAAUUUACAAGUU
RNAcentral lists this long non-coding RNA (9312 nucleotides) under Mytilus galloprovincialis (Mediterranean mussel). Lineage: Eukaryota; Metazoa; Mollusca; Bivalvia; Mytilida; Mytilidae. The record is from RNAcentral.